CGUAUAUUUAAGUUGUUGCAGUUAAAAAGCUCGUAGUUGGAUUUCGGGUGGGUUUCAGCGGUCCGCCUAUGGUGAGUACUGCUGUGGCCUAUCUUACUGUCGGGGACCUGCUUCUGGGCUUCAUUGUCCGGGACAGGGAUUCGGCAUGGUUACUUUGAGUAAAUUAGAGUGUUCAAAGCAGGCUUACGCCGUGAAUACUUUAGCAUGGAAUAACAUGAUAGGACUCUGCCCUAUUCUGUUGGCCUGUAGGAGUGGAGUAAUGAUUAAGAGGAACAGUCGGGGG
Molecule: ribosomal RNA, 283 nt
Filed under: Tetradesmus deserticola
Lineage: Eukaryota; Viridiplantae; Chlorophyta; Chlorophyceae; Sphaeropleales; Scenedesmaceae
Description: partial small subunit ribosomal RNA
Rfam family: Eukaryotic small subunit ribosomal RNA
Source: RNAcentral